ACGAGUAGAGGUGCCCUGGCGACUUGCUUGAACGUCCUCCUUUGGCUGUGUAACCUGUGUCCGGCCAACUCUGUUAUGCGCCUAAAGAUGAGAGAUGCAAACGGGAAGCCCUGCGUCCAGGGCAACAGGCACUUGUCUGAGCGCCUACGGCCACUCAAAUGCAAAGUUCCUGGAGUUGCAGUUUGAGAGAUGAGCCGCCAGUAGGCCUGAAGGACCAAACAAUCCCACUGUGUGAACAAACUCCAUUUCUCUGGAAACCAGCUUUAGAUUGGUAACUGUGAGGAAGCCAAAUCGGAUCCGAGAGUCUUUUUCUAAAGGCCAGUACUGGCCACACUUUCUUCUGCCACCUUCCUCAAAGCUGAAAAGACACAGGGUAAGUGAAAGUAUCUACAACCAGAAAAAUGGUCAAAAGUAGCAAAUGGAGAAGAGAGCAAAGAGGAACUGGUACUUCAGGAACCAAGAAGAAAGCUUCCUUCUAGAAACAGGAUUUUCUGUCUAAAGGUGAAUUCAACAGAUUGAAGGUGAAUUGCUCCAUGUUUCCCAGUACUUCUUUUACUGGAUAAGGCCAGGACCUCAGAAUAGGUUAGAACUGGCACAGGGUCACCAGAGCCAUGGACUAGCAGGCAUCCUCAAACUACGGCCCACGGGCCACAUGAGGCGGUGUGAUUGUAUUUGUUCCCGUUUUGUUUUUUUACUUCAAAAUAAGA
This is a long non-coding RNA of Nycticebus coucang (slow loris), 707 nucleotides long. RefSeq lists it as uncharacterized. The record is from RefSeq and is a predicted model, not a curated record. Lineage: Eukaryota; Metazoa; Chordata; Mammalia; Primates; Lorisidae. The transcript is spliced from 4 exons.